GAGGUUAAGCGACUAAGCGUACACGGUGGAUGCCUAGGCAGUCAGAGGCGAUGAAGGGCGUGCUAAUCUGCGAUAAGCGUCGGUAAGGUGAUAUGAACCGUUAUACCCGACGAUACCCGAAUGGGGAAACCCAGUGUGUUUCGACACACUAUCAUGCAGUGAAUACAUAGCUGUAUGAGGCGAACCGGGGGAACUGAAACAUCUCAGUACCCCGAGGAAAAGAAAUCAACCGAGAUUCCCCCAGUAGCGGCGAGCGAACGGGGAGGAGCCCAGAACCAGAAUCAGUUUGUGUGUUAGUGGAAGCGUCUGGAAAGUCGCACGACAGAGGGUGAUAGUCCCGUACACAAAAAUGCACAGGCUGUGAGUUCGAUGAGUAGGGCGGGACACGUGUUAUCCUGUCUGAAGAUGGGGGGACCAUCCUCCAAGGCUAAAUACUCCUGACUGACCGAUAGUGAACCAGUACCGUGAGGGAAAGGCGAAAAGAACCCCGGCGAGGGGAGUGAAACAGAACCUGAAACCGUGUACGUACAAGCAGUGGGAGCACCCUUUGGGGUGUGACUGCGUACCUUUUGUAUAAUGGGUCAGCGACUUAUAUUCUGUAGCAAGGUUAACCGAAUAGGGGAGCCGCAGGGAAACCGAGUCUUAACUGGGCGUUAAGUUGCAGGGUAUAGACCCGAAACCCGGUGAUCUAGCCAUGGGCAGGUUGAAGGUUGGGUAACACUAACUGGAGGACCGAACCGACUAAUGUUGAAAAAUUAGCGGAUGACUUGUGGCUGGGGGUGAAAGGCCAAUCAAACCGGGAGAUAGCUGGUUCUCCCCGAAAGCUAUUUAGGUAGCGCCUCGUGAACUCAUCUUCGGGGGUAGAGCACUGUUUCGGCUAGGGGGUCAUCCCGACUUACCAACCCGAUGCAAACUGCGAAUACCGAAGAAUGUUAUCACGGGAGACACACGGCGGGUGCUAACGUUCGUCGUGAAGAGGGAAACAACCCAGACCGCCAGCUAAGGUCCCAAAGUCAUGGUUAAGUGGGAAACGAUGUGGGAAGGCCCAGACAGCCAGGAUGUUGGCUUAGAAGCAGCCAUCAUUUAAAGAAAGCGUAAUAGCUCACUGGUCGAGUCGGCCUGCGCGGAAGAUGUAACGGGGCUAAACCAUGCACCGAAGCUGCGGCAGCGA
Molecule: ribosomal RNA, 1171 nt
Filed under: Samsonia erythrinae
Lineage: Bacteria; Pseudomonadati; Pseudomonadota; Gammaproteobacteria; Enterobacterales; Pectobacteriaceae
Description: partial 23S ribosomal RNA
Rfam family: Bacterial large subunit ribosomal RNA
Source: RNAcentral